Small nuclear RNA from Anser brachyrhynchus (Pink-footed goose), 103 nucleotides. NCBI's taxonomy places the organism in Eukaryota, Metazoa, Chordata, Aves, Anseriformes, Anatidae. The record is from Ensembl.
CUGGUUCAGCAGCACAUAUACUAAAACUGGCACAUUACAGAGAAGAUUAGCAUGGCUCCUGAGCAUGAAUAAAACACAAAUUUGUGAAGCGUUCCAUAUUUUU